RNAcentral lists this ribosomal RNA (387 nucleotides) under uncultured bacterium. RNAcentral describes it as "bacterial SSU rRNA". It matches the Rfam family "Bacterial small subunit ribosomal RNA", at positions 355 to 762 of the family's 1533-position model. The record is from RNAcentral.
UGGGGAAUAUUGCACAAUGGGGGAAACCCUGAUGCAGCGACGCCGCGUGGAGGAAGAAGGUCUUCGGAUUGUAAACUCCUGUUGUUGGGGAAAUAGAUGGUACCAACAAGGAAGUGACGGCUAACUACGUGCCAGCAGCCGCGGUAAAACGUAAGGUCACAAGCGUUGUCCGGAAUUACUGGGUGUAAAGGGAGCGCAGGCGGGUAUGCAAGUUGGAAGUGAAAUACAUGGGCUCAACCCAUGAACUGCUUUCAAAACUGUGUAUCUUGAGUAGUGCAUAGGUAGGCGGAAUUCCCGGUGUAGCGGUGGAAUGCGUAGAUAUCGGGAGGAACACCAGUGGCGAAGGCGGCCUACUGGGCACCAACUGACGCUGAGGCUCGAAAGUGU